This 249-nucleotide long non-coding RNA is filed under the name Ananas comosus (pineapple). Its description in RNAcentral is "long non-coding RNA (ACOM_LNC000804)". The record is from RNAcentral. Lineage: Eukaryota; Viridiplantae; Streptophyta; Magnoliopsida; Poales; Bromeliaceae.
CAAGAUAACAACACUACACAAUUAUCACCGGAUAAUUGUACGAAUCCGGGUUCCCGGAAUGUCUAUUUCGACACCGGAACCCACCGUCGCUUACCCAUCAUCACCGAACCUACAAAAUGAUGAUGGUGACUAGCCAACAAGGCUCAGCGACCACACACAAGACAACCAAACCACGUCGGAAGAAAUCCAAACCGAAACCGCGUUCUUUCGGCGAAUUUUGCCGAAAAACGCACCGAAAUCGACUCUUCG